CCUGGAAGCAAAAAAACUCCAGAGCAAUAAGCUCCUGAGUUUAUUCAAGUACACUAAACACAUAUGUAGAUGCGCCCAUGGAUUAUAAUAAUAUUCCAGAUCAUCCUUUAUCACAGGAAAAACAAAGUCAUAAAGGGGAGGAAUGCCAUGUGAGAAUCUCUGUGAUGGUUAUUCAGUAGGGCCUGGAUGAGAAAGCUCUGAAUACAUAUGAUCCCCCACAUGUUUGGAUCUCUGGAGAACAAAACUGGUUAUCAAUGCUGCUUUGGCUCUUGCUGUCAGGCCAAAAAGCCAGGUGGUAAAAAGCAACAUGGAAAUGUACAAAAGCACGUGGGAGAAUCAUAUACAUGUUUUCACUGAAGCUGUGGAUGACAUAACAAGUAUUGAUGAUUUUCUUGCUGUAUCAGGAAGAUGAGGCUCUCAAGAAACCCUUUUCUCCUUGACCUGAUACUUGAAUUCAAAACACCAAAUAUCCUGGGGCAUGUGAUAAACUAUGAAUAUUU
This is a long non-coding RNA of Gavialis gangeticus (Gharial), 500 nucleotides long. RefSeq lists it as uncharacterized. The transcript has 3 exons. Lineage: Eukaryota; Metazoa; Chordata; Crocodylia; Gavialidae. The record is from RefSeq and is a predicted model, not a curated record.